This 253-nucleotide ribosomal RNA is filed under the name uncultured bacterium. RNAcentral describes it as "partial 16S ribosomal RNA". It matches the Rfam family "Bacterial small subunit ribosomal RNA", at positions 524 to 776 of the family's 1533-position model. The record is from RNAcentral.
UACGGGGGGGGCAAGCGUUGUUCGGAAUUACUGGGCGUAAAGGGCGCGUAGGCGGUUCGGUAAGUCAGCUGUGAAAACCAUGGGCUUAACUCAUGGCCUGCAGUUGAGACUGUCGGGCUGGAGUGUGGGAGAGGAGAGUGGAAUUCCUGGUGUAGCGGUGAAAUGCGUAGAUAUCAGGAGGAACACCGGUGGCGAAGGCGGCUCUCUGGACCACAACUGACGCUGAGGCGCGAAAGCUAGGGGAGCAAACAGG